Molecule: long non-coding RNA, 2161 nt
Filed under: Gossypium barbadense (sea-island cotton)
Lineage: Eukaryota; Viridiplantae; Streptophyta; Magnoliopsida; Malvales; Malvaceae
Description: long non-coding RNA (GBAR_LNC007718)
Source: RNAcentral
UUGCACCUCUCUAAAUUUGCAUAUGCUAAUACACCACUAUUUCCUUAAAUAUUAUUAUCUUUUUCAUUGAAAAACUUACUAAAAUAAUCAUUUGGAUAGACGAUGAGAUUGACUCUGAUGAGAUUAAUCAUUGUAGCAUUGUGAUCAAGUAUUGCAGUGGUGAAAUUGACAUUAGUGAUAACAUAUGUGUUUGGAUGCAAACAUAAAAGUGGGGUGAGCUGAAAGUAAAAUAUGAUUAUUAACAUCAUCAUAUUAAAUUUUUUAUUUAUGAAAAUUUUAAUUUAGUUGAUACUUUUGAUAUAAAAAAAUAUAUUAUAUUAGUAAUGGGCCAAAUCCGUCCAGGCCCAAUUAAACCCAAAAUGCCCCAAGCCUCAAAAAAAACCCUAGCCCAAUACAUUAAAAAAAUCAGAAAAAAGAAACAAAAAAAAAACCUAAGUUCAGCCGCCGUACCAUCGCCCAUACCUUCUGCCUUCAACCACUCUCUGCCAUCCCUGAGAAACAAACCAAAGAAGAGCAGAUAAACACAACACGCAAACAGUAGCAGAAACAUUUUUUUUAAUAUUUGUAAUCGGCUUUAAAAGGCCGAAUAAUGAAUGUAAAAGGGGGACUCUUUUCAAAAUUCAAAAAACGAAGAAAUUAAUCAAAAAGAGACCAAGAAUUUCGAAAGGUUUUUUUUAUCCUUUUUAUUUUUUAUUUUUGAUAAAAUAAAUAAAUAAGCAAAACAUACCUGUUGUCUUGUUUUCUCACCACGGUUAAAGGCCGUCGCCGGCGUUUUGAUGCCACAAACCCGUUGGGUUCCCAACGAGGGUUUAAAAGAGGGAAAUAGGAUUGGAAAUAACCCUUUUUUCUUCCCUUUUAUUUCUGAUUUUUGGUUUUAAAAAAGGAGAUAGAGAUCAAAUAAGGGGGGAAGAGACUUAUCUUAGUAUUGACUCCUUCGAGUCCUUGCUUGCUUCGUCGUUAUCGAAGCCUAGGUGAAGAUUCGGAGGCUCAGGAGCACGACCCUCGGAUUCGUGGUCGAACAGGGCUAGAUUUGGCCUUCGCUUGAUGACCGUCGGCCGAAUACAGAGGCAAAACAGCAAUUGAAGUCUUUCUUUUUUUUUUUCGGCCGAAUGAGAGGGGAGGAGGCUAAGGCUUAGUUUGGAUGGGCGGUGUGUUUUCUUGGUGAGAUUGAAUACUAUAGCGGUGAGAAUAAAAAUAGCAGUGGAUAUGUGUUUGGAUUCAAACGUAGUUGUAGCGGUGAGAUGAGAAUAAAAAAUGACCAUUAUAGACAUUAGUUUACAAUGUAUUUAUAAUAAAAUAAAUAAUUAAAUUUAUAUUAAUAUUAAAUAAUAUAACAUAAAAUAAAAUUUUAUUUUUUAUAAAAUGAUAAUUAAAAUAUUAUAAUCAUAUGCAAUAAAAUUUAAAUAUUUUUAAAUUAUAUUAAUAAUAAAUAAUAAAACAUAUUUAAAUUUUUUAUAUUAAAUAAUAAUUAAAAUUAUAUAUUUAUGACAAUAAAUUUAUAUAUUUAUUAAAUUAUUAUAUAAUAAUAUCUAAUAAUAUUUUACUUUCUAUAAAGCUCAAAAAAAAAAAAACAAAGAACAAGGGUAAUAAAAUCACUCACCUCAGUUUCUUCACCACUGUCACCUUUGGCUUCAGUGAAAAUUGAGAACAGCAGUGUAGUGAGAGUGCUCAAUUGCACAUUGCACUGCACCUCAAAUCUCUCAAAUCUUCCAAACAAGAAAUCAGUGCAGUGAAAAGGAAUAUUCACCCAAUAUUCCAUCUCACCGUGGGUAAAAUCUAAUCCAAAGGGAGCCUAAGUUUUGGUGUUGAUUUCAAAUGACUGAGCAUUAGUUUAAGGUUUCUUUUAAUUUUGUUUUUAUAAAGAGUAAAACGGCACCGUUUGAGGGGGACACUUAAUUACGUUGGGUAAAUUCCACACUCGUGUCCCUCCCUAUUUUGCCGUCAUCUGAUUGAGUCCCAUUUAUGUUUCUUUUGUUUUUUUUUAAUUCUUUCCUAAAACUUAUAUGCUGUUUUGAUUUGAUCCAUGUUUACAUGGGGCGUUCAGAAACUUGGAAUAAUGGUGUUUUUAAUACCUGCACAUUCAUGCCCAUCGCACUUUGGUCCUUAUUUUUAUUUAAUGGUUUAUUUUAUUUAGUUUGGGUCUGUUUUAAUUAAGUUUUUU